AAGUAUUGAUAUAUACUACAAUGUACAUAUAAAAAACAUUAUGCUAAGUGAAAGAAGCCAGACACAAAGGUCGCAUAUGGUUCCAAUUAAAUAAAAUAUCCAGAAUAAACCCACAGAGACAGAAAACAGAUUAAUGGUUGCCUGGGGCUGGAGGGAAAAGGGAGUUGAGAGUAAUUGCUUAAUGGCUAUAGGUUUCCUUUUGAGGUAUGAAAUGUCUGGACCUAGAAAGAGGUGGCAGUGGCACAACACUGACCUGUGUACUAGAUACCACUGAGUUGUUCACUUUAAAAUGGUUAGUUUUAUGCUAUGUGAAUGUCACCUUAAGAAAGAAAAUAUAUUUGCAAAAUUCAAAUAUAAAGAAAGAAUGGGUCCAACGCCUUAACAUCAGGUGGGGUAGAAUUUAGAUAUCUAAAAUACUAAAUUCAAAUAAAUAAAUAAAAUACUAAAUAAAUAAAUACUAAAUUCAAUCCACGCAAUUUUUAAGUGGCUCCAAUGUAUGCAAUGUGUAUAACAAACCAUUUAAAUGCUCUUUAGUAAUGUGGCCACCUGACACUUUUAAACAGAACUUAUAACUAAGAGCUGAAAACCACUUAAACAAGCAAGCGUUUGUUGGACCGAGGUCAUGAACAUUUGGAAAGCAUGAGAACUGGCAGCCUUCUUGAGUUAGUUCCAGGUUGGGCACCAUUCAGCUCUGGAUAAGCUCCUGAAGCUCGCUGGGUCUCAGCUUCUUCAUAUGUAAAAGGAGAGGGUUGGACAAGAUCAUCAGUAAGUCUCCUUUUUGUUACAAAAAGAAGUUCAUGCAAUCUACUCCCCAAGACAGAAUGGAAAAAGGAAAAGCCUUUGAGGAAACAAAUUUCACCUGCCAGUGAUGAAGGCUGGCAAGAACAGCACUUUCUAAAGCAGCCAGGACAGAAUGGUCUACAGAUGAAAAAUUAACCCCAAAGUCAAGUCACACCUGGAAGAGAAUUGCUGUCAAACAUCAACAUCUUGGUACAAAUGUUAUUUGCGUUUUUUGGAAAACAUCCGAUGUGGCUUAGGAGUGAGCAAAAAUCCUCCCUCUAAACAAAUAGCUUAGGUGAAAAGCUUUGAUAACUUACCAAUACCUAGUAAGUGUGUUGAAGUCUAUUUUUUUUUAAACCAAAAUUCACCUAAAGAGCACAGUACAUAAGGAAACAGUGAUUAGUCACAAGCCCCAGAUAUGAGUCUUACUGCCAUCAUUGAUGAAUAAAUAUUACUAGCUCACAAUGAUAAAACCAGCAGCAACCCAAUCUGCUCCAUGAUUUUCUUAUACUUGAGUGCAACUGCUAAUUCUGUAUAAAUAUAAGCAGAAAAAUAGCUUUUGGAAAUCUUAAAACAAAGCUUAUUUUCUGCCACUAUCCACCCACAACCAUCUGCCAGGCUAUGGAUUAAAGAUGACAGCAACCUCCUAAGGAAGCUUCCUGGGGAAAACUGGUUUCUUACUCUCUAGGUCAAUCAUUUUAAGCAUAAUUAAACUAUUUUAGACUGUAAAUCUGUUUUUUACUAAGUCCAAGAGAAAUGAAACUAUGUUUAGUGGUCACCAAAAUAACAAUAAAAAGGAAUAAAAAAUAAAAAGGACAUCUUUUGAUUCUGAAGCAUUCACUGUUAUUCAUUCACUUAUUAUAUUCAGCAAAUAUUUCAACAACUACCAUGUGCCAGGCUCCGUGUUGAGUGCAGGACAUAUAGCAGAGAACACGACCCUGCCAUCUUAAGGCUCAUGAAGCAGAAGAAAAGACUAGUAAAUAUUUUAAACUUUAAAUAUUUCCUUCAUAUCACUCACAGAUAAGAGGCUGAGACAGAGCGUAACAGAGGAUGGUCAGAGAGCACCUCUCUGAAAAGGGAAUGCUUGUGUCCUAAAGGGCAGAAGGAGCUAGCUAAUGGGCAGAGAGGAGUAGUCUAGGCAGAAGGAAUGCCCGUGCACAAAGGACCAGAUCCAUCAGUGGGCUCAAGUGUGGUGAGAAGAUAAAAUACUCGGAAUGAGUCUGGAGAGGAAGGCAGCACAAAACAUCUUAUAGGCAUGGUAAGACUCUGGAUUUAAAUGCAAUGGGAAGCGAUGGAAGGGUUUUUAGGAGACAGCUGAGAUAAUCUGAUUUUUGAAAGGGUAACAUUUACUACCACGCGAAUUGACUGGAAAUGGGUGAGAAUGGAAGUGGGAAGAGGUGCUGCAGCGCAGAGAAAAAUAGGUGAACUCAAUAUGUGCUUUGGAGCUCAGUUCAAAAGACGGGCUGUAAGAGGGGCUGGGAUGAGGAAAGGGAGCAAUCAGGAGGACUCUCAGAUGUCCUGUCUGAGGUGGCAAAGAUGGGGUGAGUGGUGGUGGGAUGGAGGGGUGGUGCUAACAGUUGGGAGUUUGCAGGCAAAAGACUACAUCGUAAAUCUGGGCAUGUCUAUGAGACUUUCAAGUGCUGGUGUCACAAAGCACUGGAUAUAGAAGAAUGGACUUUGGAGCAGAAUUGGGGACAAAGAUAAAAAUUUUAAAGACCCCAGAUAAAGAUAGUACUCAAAUCAGUGACGGGGAAGAGUACAGAGAAAAAGAGAAGCCCCAAAUGCUAUGUGAAUAUUGAGUAAGCACAAUAGCACAAUUCUCCUAAGACGGCUUCUUUUUUUUUCUUUUUCUCUUUCUCUUUGCUUUUUUGGGCCACACCUGAGGCACAUGGACGUUCCCAGGCUGGGGGUCGAAUCAGCUACAGCUUCUGGCCUAUACCACAGCUAUAGCCACAGAGGAUCUGAGUCUCGUCUGCGACUGACGCUGCAGCUCACGACAAUGCCAGAUCCUUAACCCACUGAGCAGGGCCAGAGAUCAAACACGCAUUCUCAUGGAUACUAGUCAGGUUCACCACUGAGCCACAGCAUGAACUCCAACAAUUAUUUUUCUAAAGCAAGCAUACAAUCUCAAAACGUUAAAGGAGCACGGAAAAGCACUUGUUAUAAGAAAUCCUUCAUAAGGAUUCUAGUGGCCAUGGAGCUUGUUCAGUGAGAGACAUUUUUUGUAGGCCCUUGGAGCUAAUGCGCCUGGGAAAAUAAUUUAACCCUCCUUAUUUCACAGCUAAGGAAAUAAAUCUAGAGCUUUUCCAUAAAGUUACUUGUCUGUGGUCACAACUAAUCAACAGAACGAUUAAACAAAUCAUUCCCAACCUUAGUUGCAAUCAACAAACACCAUCUGGUGAACUUAACAAAAAACCAACCAACAGACCAAUCACACGAGCAAACACACGAAAGAACCAAAAAAUUCUGGUACCUGGAUCUACUUUUGGCAAUCUUGAUUCAAUCAGCCUGGGACAAGACCCACGCACCUGUACUUUUAAAAGCUCUCCGGGGGUGCUUCUGAUGGCUGCAAGUACAGGACAAGAGGAGCCCAGGGUUUCUGAGCCACAUCUUCAUUACCUUUUGCCUCCUCACUGCUAAACACUCAUCACCUGUAUUUCCUUACCAACCAAAACUGCUCAAGCUCCACCUCUGCAUGGUUCUUCUGAAGGACGUUAGAACCGUCAGGACCCAAAUCCUCCUCCCUGAUUGCGACCCAGUCUUCUUUGGCCUCAUCCUCCCCCCACUUUCCCCUGGCCACAUAGAUACUGAGGACUCAGAUAUGCACACUUUUCUUCUUUCCAGUCUUACUGCUUCGCUAGGUGACCUCAUCCACUCGUUUCCACAAGGCCUUCGUGCUGAUGACCGGAGCCAGACUUAUCUCCAGACCUCUUGCCUAACAUCCAGGCCUGAGGGAUUUGACUUACUUAUAAAACAGCAAAAUAUUUGCAUUAGAGAGGACCUUAAACUGUUUAUCUAUAAAAACAUGUCGUCCCAUUGAGGUUAAUCCAAGGUACUGAGAAGGCGAGUGGUAGUGGGAUGAGGCUAACCCACUUACACAGAUGUGGCCCCAUAAUUCCUGUCUCCUAGCAUCUAUGCCUUUGUCUAAUUUCCACCCGAGUGUGGGCCAGACAUGCGACUUGCUUCUAAGGUAUAGAAUAUGGCAAAAGUGAAAGGAAUUUACAGAUGUGACUAAGGUCUUUAAUUAGCUGAUGGUGCUAAUCAAAGCGGAAUAGGCUGCACCGGCCUGAUGACAGACGAGCUUUUCAGGAGGGCCUCGGCCUUCCCUGAAGCAAGAGACUUCAUACAGCACAAACUCUCUUCCACCGCUAGCUUUGAAGAAGUGAACUGCUGUGAACUCUACAGCCACAAAGAAGCAGAUCCUGUCUACAAUCUGAAUCAUUUUAGAAGUAGAUCAUCCGCUCUGUGAGCCUCCAGAGAACACAAGAGCAGCUGCCACCUUGAUUUCAGCCUUGUGCCGGACUCCUACCUCACAUUGUAACGUGUGUUAGUUUGUAUGACACUUUAUUACUCAGUAGAUAACUAAUAUAGAUGCUUCAUGUUAAAAACUGAAAUCCUGCAUCUUGGCCAUUCCUAAUUUGGGUUUAUUUGGUCACUGACCAAGACCUUAGGACAGUGAGAAGAGCAUUUAAGAGAUAGGCAUUAGUAAGACAGGAGCUGUGUAUGCCCAUGACACCCAGGGGUCCUGGAAUGAGCAGGAGAAGAACACAGUGUUUUUUCUAUACACUGAUGGUUAAAGAAUUUCAACCAUGGCAAAUGGAAAAUGUCAUUGCUCUAGAACAUGCUGUUCAUCAAAUCAGGAGUUUGUAAACUGCAGGUGAUUUUUUUUUCAGAUUGGUGUCAAUUUCUUUUGUUCUAGCAGUGGAACGUAACUGCAGAAUCCCAGGCUUUCCUAAGGAUAACGAGUGUUUUUUCUGAGGGAGGGUCAGUGUUCAGAGAUAUUUUAUCAGCUUUUUGAUCCGAUGUCACCAUGCAAUGAUAGGAGUUCCUGUCGUGGCUCAGUGGAUUAAGGACCUGACGUUGCCUAAGGAUGCAGGUGUGAUCCCUGGCUUUGCUCAGUGUUAAGGAUUUGGUGCUGCUGUAAGCUGUGGCAUGGGUCACGGAUGCAGCUCCAAUCUGGUGCUGCCAUGGCUGUGGUGUAAGCUGCAGCUGUACCUCUGAUUUGACCUCUAGUCUGGCAACUGCCAUAUGCCUCAGGUACAGCCAUUAAAAAAAAAAAAAAAAAAAAAAAAAA
RNAcentral lists this long non-coding RNA (5074 nucleotides) under Sus scrofa (pig). RNAcentral's name for it is "lncRNA (ENSSSCG00050058059.1)". Lineage: Eukaryota; Metazoa; Chordata; Mammalia; Artiodactyla; Suidae. The record is from RNAcentral.